CUCAUUGUGGUUUUGAUUUGUAUUUCCCUGAUGCCGGUGAUGUGGGGCACUUUUUCAUGUGUCUGUUAGCCAUUUGGAUGUCUUCUUUGCAGAAAUGUCUUUGCAGAAUGUCUUCUGCCCAUUUUUUGAUUGGAUUAUUUAUUUCUUUGGGUGUUGAAUUUGUUCUCCACGGAUGACUGGGUCAGAAGCAGAUGACCCUCCUUCUGACCUAUCAUCAGAAAGUCAGGGGGUGCCUGGCUGGCUCAGUCCAUGGAGCAUGCAACUCUGGAUCUCGGGGUUAUGAGGUCGAGCACCACAUCAGUUUGGUAAAUUAAAAAGCAUUGUUGUGAUACAGUCUCAUUUAUGGCAGUUAAGGUAAGAAAACUCUCUGUGCUAUUUUUUUUUUAACUCAUUUUUCUUAACUGCCCUCAAAACA
RNAcentral lists this long non-coding RNA (415 nucleotides) under Mustela putorius furo (domestic ferret). RNAcentral's name for it is "lncRNA (ENSMPUG00000030862.1)". The record is from RNAcentral. Lineage: Eukaryota; Metazoa; Chordata; Mammalia; Carnivora; Mustelidae.